UGAUAGCUUUGCAUUAUCAUCACUGCACGUGUCAGUUCUAUUGUUUUGUAUUUUUCUAUUACGUCGGUUUGGUUUCACCGACCUCUCUCCCUAUAUAAAUGGUUUCACCGACCUCUCUUCCUAUAUAAAUGAUCACUCACGUUCAUUUGUAUAAUAAUAAAUAAUCAAAAGAAAUAUUAUGAUCACCUCAGUUUCCUCUCAUGUAAUACAUAUAUAUUAAAGUCAACAUCUUAUUUCUCUUUUUCCCAUCGAUCAGAAUA
This 260-nucleotide long non-coding RNA is filed under the name Brassica napus (rape). RNAcentral describes it as "long non-coding RNA (BNAP_LNC015767)". Lineage: Eukaryota; Viridiplantae; Streptophyta; Magnoliopsida; Brassicales; Brassicaceae. The record is from RNAcentral.